RNAcentral lists this ribosomal RNA (550 nucleotides) under uncultured bacterium. Its description in RNAcentral is "bacterial SSU rRNA". It matches the Rfam family "Bacterial small subunit ribosomal RNA", at positions 355 to 896 of the family's 1533-position model. The record is from RNAcentral.
UAGGGAAUCUUCCGCAAUGGGCGAAAGCCUGACGGAGCAACGCCGCGUGAGUGAUGAAGGUCUUCGGAUCGUAAAACUCUGUUAUUAGGGAAGAACAUAUGUGUAAGUAACUGUGCACAUCUUGACGGUACCUAAUCAGAAAGCCACGGCUAACUACGUGCCAGCAGCCGCGGUAAUACGUAGGUGGCAAGCGUUAUCCGGAAUUAUUGGGCGUAAAGCGCGCGUAGGCGGUUUUUUAAGUUUGAUGUGAAAGCCCACGGCUCAACCGUGGAGGGUCAUUGGAAACUGGAAAACUUGAGUGCAGAAGAGGAAAGUGGAAUUCCAUGUGUAGCGGUGAAAUGCGCAGAGAUAUGGAGGAACACCAGUGGCGAAGGCGACUUUCUGGUCUGUAACUGACGCUGAUGUGCGAAAGCGUGGGGAUCAAACAGGAUUAGAUACCCUGGUAGUCCACGCCGUAAACGAUGAGUGCUAAGUGUUAGGGGGUUUCCGCCCCUUAGUGCUGCAGCUAACGCAUUAAGCACUCCGCCUGGGGAGUACGACCGCAAGGUUG